UGUUUCGGCUAGGGGGUCAUCCCGACUUACCAACCCGAUGCAAACUACGAAUACCGAAGAAUGUUAUCACGGGAGACACACGGCGGGUGCUAACGUCCGUCGUGAAGAGGGAAACAACCCAGACCGCCAGCUAAGGUCCCAAAGUCAUGGUUAAGUGGGAAACGAUGUGGGAAGGCACAGACAGCCAGGAUGUUGGCUUAGAAGCAGCCAUCAUUUAAAGAAAGCGUAAUAGCUCACUGGUCGAGUCGGCCUGCGCGGAAGAUGUAACGGGGCUAAACCAUGCACCGAAGCUGCGGC
This 297-nucleotide ribosomal RNA is filed under the name Klebsiella pneumoniae. Its description in RNAcentral is "partial 23S ribosomal RNA". It matches the Rfam family "Bacterial large subunit ribosomal RNA", at positions 911 to 1206 of the family's 2925-position model. The record is from RNAcentral. Lineage: Bacteria; Pseudomonadati; Pseudomonadota; Gammaproteobacteria; Enterobacterales; Enterobacteriaceae.